GGCCCCGUAGCUCAGAUGGAUAGAGCAAGGACCUUCUAAGUCCGAGGUCGCAGGUUCGAAUCCUGCCGGGGUCGCCA
RNAcentral lists this transfer RNA (77 nucleotides) under Alsobacter metallidurans. Its description in RNAcentral is "tRNA-Arg". It matches the Rfam family "tRNA". Rfam says of the family: Transfer RNA (tRNA) molecules are approximately 80 nucleotides in length. RNAcentral also lists the same sequence under 2 other names. Lineage: Bacteria; Pseudomonadati; Pseudomonadota; Alphaproteobacteria; Hyphomicrobiales; Alsobacteraceae. The record is from RNAcentral.